AGAUAGGAUAUCCAUGAUUUACACACCAAUGGUCAUAUGAUGAUUAUCUAAUGUUCAGCUGUCUCUUGUAUCAAGAUGAUACAAGCCACAUUACCAAACCAUGCUGAUGGAACAAACAACGAUAUGAAGGGCGUUGCAUUUCGAAACCCGUUGUGCAUUUCUGAUUUCGGGAUCUACAAGUAAAUAUCAACAUGGCAACAGGUAUAUUUUGUUUUUACC
Long non-coding RNA from Ruditapes philippinarum (Manila clam), 219 nucleotides. RefSeq lists it as uncharacterized. The record is from RefSeq and is a predicted model, not a curated record. Lineage: Eukaryota; Metazoa; Mollusca; Bivalvia; Venerida; Veneridae. The transcript has 3 exons.